RNAcentral lists this ribosomal RNA (441 nucleotides) under uncultured bacterium. RNAcentral describes it as "partial 16S ribosomal RNA". It matches the Rfam family "Bacterial small subunit ribosomal RNA", at positions 338 to 795 of the family's 1533-position model. The record is from RNAcentral.
CCUACGGGUGGCAGCAGUCGGGAAUCUUUCGCAAUGGAGGAAACCCUGAUGCUGUGACGCCGCGUGCAGGAAGGAGGUUUUUCGGUUGUUAACCGCUUUAGAUAGGGAAGAAAAUUGACAGUACCUGUCGACUACGCUCAGGCUCACCACGUGCUAUCAGCCGCGGUACUACGUAGGGAGCAUGUGUUACCAGGUUUUAUUGGGUGGAACGGGUGCGUUGACGGAGCAGCAUGUUAGGUGUGAAAUCCCUGGGCUUAACUCGGGAACGGCAACUAACACUACUCUACUUGAGUACUGGAGAGGGAAGUGGAAUUCGUGGUGUAGCAGUGAAAUGCGUAGAUAUUGAGAGGAACACUAGUGGCGAAGGCGAGUUUCUGGACAGUAACUGACGUUGAGGCACGAAGGUGUGGGGAGCAAAAAGGAUUAGAUACCCGGGUAGUC